GUAACACAUGAUCAACUUACCCUAUAGAGAAAAAUAACCUCGGGAAACUGACGAUAAUGUUUCAUAGUUGAAUUGGCUUGGAAAAGUUUUUCGACGAAAGGGGUAAAAAAAAUGGUUUUUAUCUGCUAUAGGAUAGGAUCGUGUUCGAUUAUGGUUGUUGGUGAGGUAAUGGCUCACCAAGCCGAUAAUCGAUAGGGGCCGUGAGAGCGGGAGCCCCGAGAUGGGUACUGAGACAACGACCCAGGCCUUACGAGGCGCAGCAGGCGCGAAACCUCCGCAAUACACGAAAGUGUGACGGGGUUACCCAAAGUGUUCAAUUUUGAACUGUGGUAGGUGAGUAAUGUUCCCUACUAGAAAGGAGAGGGCAAGGCUGGUGCCAGCCGCCGCGGUAAAACCAGCUCUUCAAGUGGUCGGGAUAAUUAUUGGGCUUAAAGUGUCCGUAGCCGGUUUAGUAAGUUCCUGGUAAAAUCGGGUAGCUUAACUAUCUAUAUGCUAGGAAUACUACUAUACUAGAGGGCGGGAGAGGUCUGAGGUACUACAGGGGUAGGGGUGAAAUCUUAUAAUCCUUGUUGGACCACCAGUGGCGAAGGCGUCAGACUGGAACGCCCGACGGUGAGGGACGAAAGCCAGGGGAGCGAACCGGGUAGUAGAUACCCGGGUAGUCCUGGCCGUAAACGAUGCAUACUAG
Molecule: ribosomal RNA, 688 nt
Filed under: uncultured archaeon
Lineage: Archaea
Description: bacterial SSU rRNA
Rfam family: Archaeal small subunit ribosomal RNA
Source: RNAcentral